GACGAACGCUGGCGGCGUGCCUAAUACAUGCAAGUAGAACGCUGAGGGAGGAGCUUGCUUCUCUGGAUGAGUUGCGAACGGGUGAGUAACGCGUAGGUAACCUGCCUGGUAGCGGGGGAUAACUAUUGGAAACGAUAGCUAAUACCGCAUAAUAGUAGAUGUUGCAUGACAUUUACUUAAAAGGUGCAAUUGCAUCACUACCAGAUGGACCUGCGUUGUAUUAGCUAGUUGGUGGGGUAACGGCUCACCAAGGCGACGAUACAUAGCCGACCUGAGAGGGUGAUCGGCCACACUGGGACUGAGACACGGCCCAGACUCCUACGGGAGGCAGCAGUAGGGAAUCUUCGGCAAUGGACGAAAGUCUGACCGAGCAACGCCGCGUGAGUGAAGAAGGUUUUCGGAUCGUAAAGCUCUGUUGUAAGAGAAGAACGAGUGUGAGAGUGGAAAGUUCACACUGUGACGGUAUCUUACCAGAAAGGGACGGCUAACUACGUG
This 495-nucleotide ribosomal RNA is filed under the name uncultured bacterium. RNAcentral describes it as "partial 16S ribosomal RNA". It matches the Rfam family "Bacterial small subunit ribosomal RNA", at positions 28 to 507 of the family's 1533-position model. The record is from RNAcentral.